Molecule: ribosomal RNA, 500 nt
Filed under: uncultured bacterium
Lineage: Bacteria
Description: bacterial SSU rRNA
Rfam family: Bacterial small subunit ribosomal RNA
Source: RNAcentral
GACGAACGCUGGCGGCGUGCCUAAUACAUGCAAGUCGAGCGGAAUGAUGAAGAAGCUUGCUUCUUCUGAUUUUAGCGGCGGACGGGUGAGUAACACGUGGGCAACCUACCUUGUAGAUUGGGAUAACUCCGGGAAACCGGGGCUAAUACCGAAUAAUCCAUUUUGCUUCAUGGCGAGAUGUUGAAAGACGGUUUCGGCUGUCACUACAAGAUGGGCCCGCGGCGCAUUAGCUAGUUGGUAGGGUAAUGGCCUACCAAGGCGACGAUGCGUAGCCGACCUGAGAGGGUGAUCGGCCACACUGGGACUGAGACACGGCCCAGACUCCUACGGGAGGCAGCAGUAGGGAAUCUUCCACAAUGGACGAAAGUCUGAUGGAGCAACGCCGCGUGAGUGAAGAAGGUUUUCGGACCGUAAAACUCUGUUGUAAGGGAAGAACACGUACGAGAGUAACUGCUCGUACCUUGACGGUACCUUAUUAGAAAGCCACGGCUAACUACGUG